This 75-nucleotide transfer RNA is filed under the name Acidianus sp. Its description in RNAcentral is "tRNA-Arg". It matches the Rfam family "tRNA". From Rfam's summary of the family: Transfer RNA (tRNA) molecules are approximately 80 nucleotides in length. Lineage: Archaea; Thermoproteati; Thermoproteota; Thermoprotei; Sulfolobales; Sulfolobaceae. RNAcentral also lists the same sequence under 2 other names. The record is from RNAcentral.
GGGCCCGUAGCUCAGCCAGGACGGAGCGCCGGCCCUCUAAGCCGGUGGUCGGGGGUUCAAAUCCCCCCGGGCCCG